AAUGAGAGGAAAAAAAAAC
RNAcentral lists this small RNA (19 nucleotides) under Arabidopsis thaliana (thale cress). RNAcentral describes it as "ATSL195020". The record is from RNAcentral. Lineage: Eukaryota; Viridiplantae; Streptophyta; Magnoliopsida; Brassicales; Brassicaceae.